CCUACGGGUGGCAGCAGUGAGGAAUAUUGGUCAAUGGACGAGAGUCUGAACCAGCCAAGUAGCGUGAAGGAUGACUGCCCUAUGGGUUGUAAACUUCUUUUAUAAAGGAAUAAAACGAGGCACGUGUGCCUUUUUGCAUGUACUUUAUGAAUAAGGAUCGGCUAAAUCAGUGCCAGCAGCCGGGGUAAUACGGAGGAUCCGAGCAUUCUCCGGAUUUAUUGGGUUUAAAGGGAGCGGAGAUGGGUUUUUAAGUCAGUUGGGAAAGUUUGCGGGUCAAACGUAAAAUUGCAAGUGAUACUGGCAGUCUUGAGUACAGUAGAGGUAGGCGGAAUUCGUGGUGUAGCGGUGAAAUGCAUAGAUAUCACGAAGAACCCCGAUUGCGAAGGCAGCUUACUAAACUGUGACUGACAUUGAUGCUCGAAAGUGUGGGUAUCAAACAGGAUUAGAUACCCCUGUAGUC
RNAcentral lists this ribosomal RNA (460 nucleotides) under uncultured bacterium. RNAcentral describes it as "partial 16S ribosomal RNA". It matches the Rfam family "Bacterial small subunit ribosomal RNA", at positions 338 to 795 of the family's 1533-position model. The record is from RNAcentral.